Molecule: transfer RNA, 81 nt
Filed under: Macrophomina phaseolina
Lineage: Eukaryota; Fungi; Ascomycota; Dothideomycetes; Botryosphaeriales; Botryosphaeriaceae
Description: tRNA-Arg
Rfam family: tRNA
About the family: Transfer RNA (tRNA) molecules are approximately 80 nucleotides in length. Their secondary structure includes four short double-helical elements and three loops (D, anti-codon, and T loops).
Source: RNAcentral
GGGCGGUUGGCGCAAUGGUAGCGCGUUGGUUUUCGGAACGAGAUACACCAAAGGUUGUGGGUUCGAGCCCCAUGCUGCUCG